GACGAACGCUGGCGGCGUGCUUAACACAUGCAAGUCGAACGGAAAGGCCCUUCUUUUGUGGGGUGCUCGAGUGGCGAACGUGUGAGUAACACUUGAGUAACCUGCCCUUUACUUUGGGAUAACUUCAGGAAACUGGGGCUAAUACCGGAUAGGAUCUCCUGCUGCAUGGUGGGGGUUGGAAAGUUUCGGCGGUUGGGGAUGGACUCGCGGCUUAUCAGCUUGUUGGUGGGGUAGUGGCUUACCAAGGCUUUGACGGGUAGCCGGCCUGAGAGGGUGACCGGCCACAUUGGGACUGAGAUACGGCCCAGACUCCUACGGGAGGCAGCAGUGGGGAAUAUUGCACAAUGGGCGGAAGCCUGAUGCAGCAACGCCGCGUGCGGGAUGACGGCCUUCGGGUUGUAAACCGCUUUCGCCUGUGACGAAGCGUGAGUGACGGUAAUGGGUAAAGAAGCACCGGCUAACUACGUG
This 468-nucleotide ribosomal RNA is filed under the name uncultured bacterium. RNAcentral describes it as "partial 16S ribosomal RNA". It matches the Rfam family "Bacterial small subunit ribosomal RNA", at positions 28 to 507 of the family's 1533-position model. The record is from RNAcentral.